AUCGAACUCGAUGGCCUAAGAGAUUAGAUUUUCCCUUCGGGGACAAAAUGACAGGUGGUGCAUGGUUGUCGUCAGCUCGUGUCGUGAGAUGUUGGGUUAAGUCCCGCAACGAGCGCAACCCUUAUGACUAGUUGCCAGCAUUUAGUUGGGCACUCUAGUGAGACUGCCGGUGACAAACCGGAGGAAGGUGGGGAUGACGUCAAAUCAUCAUGCCCCUUAUGACCUGGGCUACACACGUGCUACAAUGGAUGGUACAACGAGUUGCGAGACCGCGAGGUUAAGCUAAUCUCUUAAAACCAUUCUCAGUUCGGACUGUAGGCUGCAACUCGCCUACACGAAGUCGGAAUCGCUAGUAAUCGCGGAUCAGCAUGCCGCGGUGAAUACGUUCCCGGGUCUUGUACACACCGA
RNAcentral lists this ribosomal RNA (408 nucleotides) under bacterium OM12. Its description in RNAcentral is "bacterial SSU rRNA". It matches the Rfam family "Bacterial small subunit ribosomal RNA", at positions 986 to 1393 of the family's 1533-position model. The record is from RNAcentral.